Transfer RNA from Podospora anserina, 93 nucleotides. It matches the Rfam family "tRNA". From Rfam's summary of the family: Transfer RNA (tRNA) molecules are approximately 80 nucleotides in length. Their secondary structure includes four short double-helical elements and three loops (D, anti-codon, and T loops). The record is from Rfam. NCBI's taxonomy places the organism in Eukaryota, Fungi, Ascomycota, Sordariomycetes, Sordariales, Podosporaceae.
GCCUGCUUGGCGCAGUGGUAACGCGUUCCACUUGUAUGGCUCUUGCAGCCUCAGUCAAUGGAAAGAUCAUUGGUUCGAUUCCAGUAGUAGGCA